This 448-nucleotide ribosomal RNA is filed under the name uncultured bacterium. RNAcentral's name for it is "SSU rRNA". It matches the Rfam family "Bacterial small subunit ribosomal RNA", at positions 26 to 518 of the family's 1533-position model. The record is from RNAcentral.
AGAGCGAACGCUGGCGGCAGGCCUAACACAUGCAAGUCGAGCGGCCGUAGCAAUACGGCAGCGGCAGACGGGAGAGUAACACGUGGGAACGCGCCCUUCGGUUCGGAAUAACUCAGGGAAACUUGGGCUAAUACCGGAUACGCCCUUACGGGGAAAGAUUUAUUGCCGAAGGAACGGCCCGCGUCCGAUUAGCUUGUUGGUGAGGUAACGGCUCACCAAGGCGACGAUCGGUAGCUGGUCUGAGAGGAUGACCAGCCUCACUGGGACUGAGACACGGCCCAGACUCCUACGGGAGGCAGCAGUGGGGAAUAUUGGACAAUGGGCGCAAGCCUGAUCCAGCCAUGCCGCGUGGGUGAUGAAGGCCCUAGGGUUGUAAAGCCCUUUCGGCGGGGAAGAUAAUGACGGUACCGAGAUAAGAAGCCCCGGCUAACUUCGUGCCAGCAGCCGC